RNAcentral lists this ribosomal RNA (437 nucleotides) under uncultured Moraxellaceae bacterium. RNAcentral describes it as "bacterial SSU rRNA". It matches the Rfam family "Bacterial small subunit ribosomal RNA", at positions 67 to 494 of the family's 1533-position model. Lineage: Bacteria; Pseudomonadati; Pseudomonadota; Gammaproteobacteria; Moraxellales; Moraxellaceae. The record is from RNAcentral.
CAUAAAGAUUCAGCUUGCUGAAUCCGGUGCUGACGAGCGGCGAACGGGUGAGUAACGCGUAGGAAUCUACCCAGUAGCGGGGGAUAGCCCGAGGAAACUCGGAUUAAUACCGCAUACGCCCUGAGGGGGAAAGGGGGCAGUUUACUGCUCUCACUAUUGGAUGAGCCUGCGUAAGAUUAGCUUGUUGGUGGGGUAAUGGCCUACCAAGGCAACGAUCUUUAGCUGGUCUGAGAGGACGAUCAGCCACAUUGGGACUGAGACACGGCCCAGACAUCUACGGAUGGCAGCAGUUAAGAAUAUUGGACAAUGGGGGCAACCCUGAUCCAGGUAUACCGCGUGUGUGAAGAAGGCCCUAGGGUUGUAAAGCACUUUAAUCAGAGAAGAAGCAUUUUAAGUUAAUACCUUAAUAUGUUGACGUUACCUGAAGAAUAAGGACC